RNAcentral lists this ribosomal RNA (439 nucleotides) under uncultured marine bacterium. Its description in RNAcentral is "bacterial SSU rRNA". It matches the Rfam family "Bacterial small subunit ribosomal RNA", at positions 958 to 1395 of the family's 1533-position model. The record is from RNAcentral.
AACGCGAAGAACCUUACCAACCCUUGACAUACUUGUCGCGGAUUCCAGAGAUGGAUUCCUUCAGUUCGGCUGGACAAUGUACAGGUGCUGCAUGGCUGUCGUCAGCUCGUGUCGUGAGAUGUUCGGUUAAGUCCGGCAACGAGCGCAACCCACGUCCUUAGUUACCAGCAUUUAGUUGGGUACCCUAAGGAGACUGCCGGUGAUAAGCUGGAGGAAGGUGGGGAUGACGUCAAGUCCUCAUGGCCCUUACGUGUUGGGCUACACACGUGCUACAAUGGCAUCUACAACAGGAAGCAAAACGGCAACGUUAAGCAAAUCCCGAAAAGAUGCCUCAGUUCGGAUUGCACUCUGCAACUCGAGUGCAUGAAGCUGGAAUUACUAGUAAUCGUGGAUCAGCGUGCCACGGUGAAUGCGUUCCCGGGUCUUGUACACACCGAAU